Non-coding RNA from Hordeum vulgare subsp. vulgare (domesticated barley), 125 nucleotides. NCBI's taxonomy places the organism in Eukaryota, Viridiplantae, Streptophyta, Magnoliopsida, Poales, Poaceae. The record is from Rfam.
GUCCUACUCCCUCUGUCCGGAGUUACUUGUCGUAUAAAUGUAUAAAAAUGGAUGUAUCUAGAACUAAAAUAAAUCUAGAUACGUUCAUUCAUGUGACAAGUAUUUUCGGACGGAGGGGGUAUAAU